RNAcentral lists this ribosomal RNA (168 nucleotides) under Trimma okinawae (Okinawa rubble goby). RNAcentral's name for it is "partial 12S rRNA". The record is from RNAcentral. Lineage: Eukaryota; Metazoa; Chordata; Actinopteri; Gobiiformes; Gobiidae.
CACCGCGGUUAUACGAUGCGCCCAAAUUGACAGCCUCCGGCAAAAAGCGUGGUUAAUUAAUACUGUAACUAAAGUCGAACCCAUUCAGGUCUGUCAAACGCCUCCGAAAAGGGGAAGCCCAACAACGAAAGUGACUUUAAAACAAAUGAACCCACGAAAGCUAAGGAA